RNAcentral lists this ribosomal RNA (449 nucleotides) under uncultured bacterium. RNAcentral's name for it is "partial 16S ribosomal RNA". It matches the Rfam family "Bacterial small subunit ribosomal RNA", at positions 29 to 523 of the family's 1533-position model. The record is from RNAcentral.
AACGAACGCUGGCGGCAGGCUUAACACAUGCAAGUCGAACGCAUCCUUCGGGGUGAGUGGCAGACGGGUGAGUAACGCGUGGGAACAUGCCCUUCAGUUCGGAAUAACCCAGGGAAACUUGGGCUAAUACCGGAUACGUGCGAGAGCAGAAAGAUUUAUCGCUGAAGGAGUGGCCCGCGUCUGAUUAGCUAGUUGGUGAGGUAAAGGCUCACCAAGGCGACGACCAGUGGCUGGUCUGAGAGGAUGAUCAGCCACACUGGGACUGAGACACGGCGCAGACUCCGAGGGGAGGGAGCAGUGGGGAGUAUUGGACAAUGGGCGCAAGCCUGAUCCAGCCAUGCCGCGUGAGUGAUGAAGGCCUUAGGGUUGUAAAGCUCUUUCGGCGGGGACGAUAAUGACGGUACCCGCAGAAGAAGCCCCGGCUAACUUCGUGCCAGACGCCGCAGUAA